AGCGAACGCUGGCGGCAGGCCUAACACAUGCAAGUCGAACGAACCGCUCGGGGUUAGUGGCGGACGGGAGUAUAACGUGUGGGAACGUGCCUUUAGGGUCGGCAUCACUCAGGGACACUUGUGAUUAUACCAAAUGGGCCCUUCGGGGGAACGAUUUAUCGCCUUUAGAGCGGCCCGCGUCUGAUUAGCUAGUUGGUUGAGGUAAUGGCUCACCAAGGCGACGAUCAGUAGCUGGUCUGAGAGGAUGAUCAGCCACAUUGGGACUGAGACACGGCCCAAACUCCUACGGGAGGCAGCAGUGGGGAAUCUUGCGCAAUGGGCGAAAGCCUGACGCAGCCAUGCCGCGUGAAUGAUGAAGGUCUUAGGAUUGUAAAAUUCUUUCACCGGGGACGAUAAUGACGGUACCCGGAGAAGAAGCCCCGGCUAACUUCGUG
RNAcentral lists this ribosomal RNA (434 nucleotides) under uncultured bacterium. RNAcentral's name for it is "partial 16S ribosomal RNA". It matches the Rfam family "Bacterial small subunit ribosomal RNA", at positions 29 to 507 of the family's 1533-position model. The record is from RNAcentral.